Molecule: ribosomal RNA, 1291 nt
Filed under: marine metagenome
Description: bacterial LSU rRNA
Rfam family: Bacterial large subunit ribosomal RNA
Source: RNAcentral
UUAGGCUGGAGAUUGGUGUGUAUGGUAUGAGGUUUUAUUAGUUUAAUGUGGUUGAUUAGUUGUUGGGUAGCGGUGGUCGGAGAGGUCUAUAUUGUUUUUUUUGAAGGAAGCGGCGAAUGCGGAGAACUGAAAGGAGCAGAGCGUCGGCAGGGUCAGAUGGGUAUAAGAGACGGGGAUAGGGCUGUGAAGCGGAUUCGUGAGGGUUCGUGGAGCGCUAUCGAGUGAGAAUGCAGGCAUGAGUAACGAGAGAGGGGUGAGAAACCCCUCCGCCGAAAGCCCAAGGGUUCCUGGGGAAGGCUAAUCCCCCCAGGGUGAGUCGGGAGCUAAGGCGAGGCCGAAAGGCGUAGUCGAUGCACAACUGGUUGAUAUUCCAGUACCUCCGUGCCCGCGCCAAGUCCAAUAGUUGCAACGUUGGGGCUGUUCAUCUUUAUGUUGAGCGAUCUGAUCGAGCGGCUGGCGGAUAGUUGACGGGGGACGCAGGAAGAUAAGUGAACCCGGGCGAUGGUAGUCCCGGGGUAAGCGUGUAGGCGGUUCCCGAUGAGAGUUGGGAGCGUUAACGCUGAGACGUGAUGCCGAGCGACAUACUGCGAAGUCACUGAUUCUAUGCUGCCAAGAAAAGCCCAGCAAUGAGUUGGCACGGAGCCCGUACCCCAUACCGACACAGGUGGGCGGGUAGAGAAUACUAAGGCGAGCGGGAGAACUAUGGUUAAGGAACUCGGCAAAAUAACUCCGUAACUUCGGAAGAAGGAGGACCUGCUUUGGUGAUGAGAUUUACUCUCUGAGCUGAGGUGGGUGGCACAGACCAGGGGGUAGCGACUGUUUACCAAAAACACAGCAGGGUGCGAAGCCGUAAGGCGAUGUAUACCCUGUGACGCCUGCCCAAUGCUUGAAGGUCACGGGGAACGGUUAGUUCUUUAUUGAGCGAAGCUGUGAACCUAAGCCCAAGUGAAUGGCGGCCGUAACUAUAACGGUCCUAAGGUAGCGAAAUUCCUUGUCGGGUAAGUUCCGACCUGCACGAAUGGCGUAACGACUUCCCCACUGUCUCAACCAUAGACCCGGUGAAAUUGAAGUACGAGUAAAGAUGCUCGUUAGCUGCGGAAGGACGGAAAGACCCCGUGGACCUUUACUAUAACUUGGUAUUGAGUUUUGAAUUGCGUUGUGUAGGAUAGGUGGGAGACUAGGAAGCAUUGGCGCUAGCUAGUGUGGAGUCAUUGUUGAAAUACCACCCUGCGUAAGUUGAAGCUCUAACCUCGGCCCGUUAUCCGGGUCAGGGACAGUGCCAGGCGGGUAG